GACGAACGCUGGCGGCGUGCUUAACACAUGCAAGUGGAGCGACGAACCGGGCUUCGGCCCGGGGCAAAGCCGCGAACGGGUGAGUAACACGUGGGUAACCCACCCCGAUGAUUGGGACAACCCCGGGAAACCGGGGCUAAUACCAAAUGUGCUCGCUGCUCACGAGGGCAACGAGUAAAGAUAGCUUCGGCCUUCGCAUCGGGACGGGCCCGCGGCCCAUUAGCUUGUUGGUGAGGUAACGGCUCACCAAGGCUGCGAUGGGUAGCUGGUCUGAGAGGACGAUCAGCCACACUGGGACUGAGACACGGCCCAGACUCCUACGGGAGGCAGCAGUGGGGAAUCUUGCGCAAUGCGCGAAAGCGUGACGCAGCAACGCCGCGUGGGGGAAGAAGGCCUUCGGGUUGUAAACCCCUUUCAGUUGGGACGAAGCCUCGGCGGUGAAUAGCCGUUCGGGGUGACGGUACCUUCACAAGAAGCCCCGGCUAACUACGUGCCAGCCGCCGCCGUAAAAC
Molecule: ribosomal RNA, 512 nt
Filed under: uncultured bacterium
Lineage: Bacteria
Description: bacterial SSU rRNA
Rfam family: Bacterial small subunit ribosomal RNA
Source: RNAcentral